GACGAACGCUGGCGGCGUGCUUAACACAUGCAAGUCGAACGCUGAAGCUCAGCUUUUGUUGGGUGGAUGAGUGGCGAACGGGUGAGUAACACGUGAGUAACCUGCCCCCUUCUUUGGGAUAACGCCCGGAAACGGGUGCUAAUACUGGAUAUUCACUGGUCUUCGCAUGGGGGUCGGUGGAAAGGGUUUUUCUGGUGGGGGAUGGGCUCGCGGCCUAUCAGCUUGUUGGUGGGGUGAUGGCCUACCAAGGCUUUGACGGGUAGCCGGCCUGAGGGGGUGACCGGUCACAUUGGGACUGAGAUACGGCCCAGACUCCUACGGGAGGCAGCAGUGGGGAAUAUUGCACAAUGGGCGCAAGCCUGAUGCAGCGACGCCGCGUGAGGGAUGGAGGCCUUCGGGUUGUGAACCUCUUUCGCUCAUGGUCAAGCCGCAACAAUGGUUGUGGUGAGGGUAGUGGGUAAAGAAGCGCCGGCUAACUACGUG
Molecule: ribosomal RNA, 483 nt
Filed under: uncultured bacterium
Lineage: Bacteria
Description: partial 16S ribosomal RNA
Rfam family: Bacterial small subunit ribosomal RNA
Source: RNAcentral